This 578-nucleotide ribosomal RNA is filed under the name Helminthosporium guanshanense. Its description in RNAcentral is "partial large subunit ribosomal RNA". It matches the Rfam family "Eukaryotic large subunit ribosomal RNA", at positions 84 to 673 of the family's 3401-position model. The record is from RNAcentral. Lineage: Eukaryota; Fungi; Ascomycota; Dothideomycetes; Pleosporales; Massarinaceae.
UAACGGGCGAGUGAAGCGGCAAUAGCUCAAAUUUGAAAUCUGGCUCUCUUUGGGGGUCCGAGUUGUAAUUUGCAGAGGGUGCUUUGGCGUUGGUGGCGGUCUAAGUUCCUUGGAACAGGACAUCGCAGAGGGUGAGAAUCCCGUUUGUGGUCGCCUGCCUUCGCCGUGUAAAGCCCCUUCGACGAGUCGAGUUGUUUGGGAAUGCAGCUCUAAAUGGGAGGUAAAUUUCUUCUAAAGCUAAAUACUGGCCAGAGACCGAUAGCGCACAAGUAGAGUGAUCGAAAGAUGAAAAGCACUUUGGAAAGAGAGUCAAACAGCACGUGAAAUUGUUGAAAGGGAAGCGCUUGCAGCCAGACUUGCCCGUAGUUGCUCACCCAGGCUUUUGCCCGGGGCACUCUUCUGCGAGCAGGCCAGCAUCAGUUUGGGCGGUCGGAUAAAGGCCUCUGUCACGUAUCUUCCUUCGGGAUGACCUUAUAGGGGAGGCGACAUGCGACCAGCCCGGACUGAGGUCCGCGCUUCUGCUAGGAUGCUGGCGUAAUGGCUGUAAGCGGCCCGUCUUGAAACACGGACCCAAGGAG